This 128-nucleotide small nucleolar RNA is filed under the name Olea europaea subsp. europaea. RNAcentral's name for it is "Small nucleolar RNA snoR74". It matches the Rfam family "Small nucleolar RNA snoR74". Lineage: Eukaryota; Viridiplantae; Streptophyta; Magnoliopsida; Lamiales; Oleaceae. The record is from Rfam by way of RNAcentral.
AAAAAAGCAGAGAUCUGUUACCAUUUGUGAACUGGUCUCUCGUAACCUUCAGGGAGAGAAAUUGCAAUGUUAUUGGGUGAACCUCUUGAGUUCUGAUGAUUAAUGGUUCAGUAAACAAUGUUACAUAA